This is a long non-coding RNA of Solea solea (common sole), 322 nucleotides long. RefSeq lists it as uncharacterized. The transcript is spliced from 3 exons. The record is from RefSeq and is a predicted model, not a curated record. NCBI's taxonomy places the organism in Eukaryota, Metazoa, Chordata, Actinopteri, Pleuronectiformes, Soleidae.
CCAAGUGCUAAUGGGGGUGUUUUCAGAGCAACCUUGUUUCACAGGUAACGGCGUCUUCAGAGAACACCCCCUUUGUUUUCACUAUUUUGGAUUAGCCCAACACGCAGCGCUGAGUGACUCGUCCCGCAGCUGUUUCCCACUUCUAUGAGUUUGAGGACGUCCUCUGUGCAUUUCACAUCCCUCUCCUGAAGCCCCACCACCUGCACCUGCUGCUUCCCGUCCUCCAAGACCCGCAACUUGGCUUUGCGAUUAAGUUCUUGUGUCGACGUCUCUUCCUGUGACGGCACUCUCUGACUGAUCAGUGGCCGGCAGUCUGACGACG